This 117-nucleotide small nuclear RNA is filed under the name Medicago truncatula (barrel medic). RNAcentral describes it as "sRNA gene22713". It matches the Rfam family "U5 spliceosomal RNA". Rfam says of the family: U5 RNA is a component of both types of known spliceosome. The precise function of this molecule is unknown, though it is known that the 5' loop is required for splice site selection and p220 binding, and that both the 3' stem-loop and the Sm site are important for Sm protein binding and cap methylation. Lineage: Eukaryota; Viridiplantae; Streptophyta; Magnoliopsida; Fabales; Fabaceae. The record is from Rfam by way of RNAcentral.
AGCCGUGUGAUGAGCACAUAGCGAACUAUUCUUUCGCCUUUUACUAAAGAAUACCGUGUGCACGUCACUAAAAGCGGCAUACGCUAAUUUUUGAAAGAGUCCUCCUUAAUGAGGGUU